RNAcentral lists this ribosomal RNA (497 nucleotides) under uncultured bacterium. Its description in RNAcentral is "partial 16S ribosomal RNA". It matches the Rfam family "Bacterial small subunit ribosomal RNA", at positions 28 to 507 of the family's 1533-position model. The record is from RNAcentral.
GACGAACGCUGGCGGCGUGCCUAAUACAUGCAAGUUGAGCGCUGAAGGUUGGUACUUGUACCAACUGGAUGAGCAGCGAACGGGUGAGUAACGCGUGGGGAAUCUGCCUUUGAGCGGGGGACAACAUUUGGAAACGAAUGCUAAUACCGCAUAAAAACUUUAAACACAAGUUUUAAGUUUGAAAGAUGCAAUUGCAUCACUCAAAGAUGAUCCCGCGUUGUAUUAGCUAGUUGGUGAGGUAAAGGCUCACCAAGGCGAUGAUACAUAGCCGACCUGAGAGGGUGAUCGGCCACACUGGGACUGAGACACGGCCCAAACUCCUACGGGAGGCAGCAGUAGGGAAUCUUCGGCAAUGGACGAAAGUCUGACCGAGCAACGCCGCGUGAGUGAAGAAGGUUUUCGGAUCGUAGAACUCUGUUGGUAGAGAAGAACGUUGGUGAGAGUGGAAAGCUCAUCAAGUGACGGUAACUACCCAGAAAGGGACGGCUAACUACGUG